GCUUACGGCCAUACCACCCUGAACACGCCCGAUCUCGUCUGAUCUCGGAAGCUAAGCAGGGUCGGGCCUGGUCAGUACUUGGAUGGGAGACCGCCUGGGAAUACCAGGUGCUGUAAGCG
Ribosomal RNA from Neolamprologus brichardi, 119 nucleotides. The record is from Ensembl. Lineage: Eukaryota; Metazoa; Chordata; Actinopteri; Cichliformes; Cichlidae.